This 327-nucleotide ribosomal RNA is filed under the name Triticum aestivum (bread wheat). Its description in RNAcentral is "partial small subunit ribosomal RNA". The record is from RNAcentral. Lineage: Eukaryota; Viridiplantae; Streptophyta; Magnoliopsida; Poales; Poaceae.
AUGUUCUAUAUGAUAUCCAGUGGUGUCUCCAGUGCUGAGGUGGCGGGUAUGCGCCGCCAUGAUCAUCUCAAGACGGUCUUCAUGAGCGGAUUUCGCUGUUACAAGGCUCAGAUUGAGCUGGCGUGUUGUAUCUUGGGGAAUGCUUGUGUUCUUGAGCAGCUGACGAUAGAACCAAAGGUCACAAACACAAUAUGGGCGGGUAAUUAUUAUGCGUGGAAUAAAGGCCUCGAAAGAAUUUUACCGAGGGUCUGUGAGUGGGCACAGAUCACCUCGGAGCGCUUCAGUAAGGUGAUCACUGUGUUAGGUGCGCCCCUUCACAGUGAGUAA